UACGGAGGGUCCAAGCGUUAUCCGGAAUCAUUGGGUUUAAAGGGUCCGUAGGCGGUUUUGUAAGUCAGCGGUGAAAGCCCAUCGCUCAACGGUGGAACGGCCAUUGAUACUGCAAGACUUGAAUUAUUGGGAAGUAACUAGAAUAUGUAGUGUAGCGGUGAAAUGCUUAGAGAUUACAUGGAAUACCAAUUGCGAAGGCAGGUUACUACCAAUAUAUUGACGCUGAUGGACGAAAGCGUGGGGAGCGAACAGG
This 253-nucleotide ribosomal RNA is filed under the name uncultured bacterium. RNAcentral's name for it is "partial 16S ribosomal RNA". It matches the Rfam family "Bacterial small subunit ribosomal RNA", at positions 524 to 776 of the family's 1533-position model. The record is from RNAcentral.